RNAcentral lists this ribosomal RNA (497 nucleotides) under uncultured bacterium. RNAcentral describes it as "partial 16S ribosomal RNA". It matches the Rfam family "Bacterial small subunit ribosomal RNA", at positions 30 to 523 of the family's 1533-position model. The record is from RNAcentral.
AUUGAACGCUGGCGGCAUGCCUUACACAUGCAGGUCGAACGGUAACAGGUCUUCGGAUGCUGACGAGUGGCGAACGGGUGAGUAAUACAUCGGAACGUGCCUAGUAGUGGGGGAUAACUACUCGAAAGAGUGGCUAAUACCGCAUGAGAUCUACGGAUGAAAGCAGGGGAUCGCAAGACCUUGUGCUACUAGAGCGGCCGAUGGCAGAUUAGGUAGUUGGUGGGAUAAAAGCUUACCAAGCCGACGAUCUGUAGCUGGUCUGAGAGGACGAUCAGCCACACUGGGACUAGGAAACGGCCAGACUCCUACGGGAGGCAGCAGUGGGGAAUUUUGGACAAUGGGCGCAAGCCUGAUCCAGCAAUGCCGCGUGCAGGAUGAAGGCCUUCGGGUUGUAAACUGCUUUUGUACGGAACGAAAAGCCCCGGGUUAAUACCCUGGGGUCAUGACGGUACCGUAAGAAUAAGCACCGGCUAACUACGUGCCAGCCGCCGCGGUAA